GUCUUAGAGCCCGUGUGGACCCGGAUGGCGAUGGCAGCCCGAGGAGAGGGAGGGCUGACUGUAUGGUUGGCUUUCCAACGACCAGACCCUGCAGGAUUCGGCUUUUCCCUUUAGAGUUUUCCUCCAUCCCCCUCCGUCCCUCCCAGGGGAUGCCCGCAGGCCACAGUGGUCACUGAAGGUCAACCCUGAGCCGAAGAAGUGGCCUCGACCCUGGGGACCCCUUCAGAAGUCUACCUGUGCCUGCGCCCGCCGGGCCUGCCGGCCUCUUCCUUCUCAUCCAGGGGGCCUCUUCUCCAGCCUCACGGAGGUGGGAAGCUUGCUGGAGGCCCCUACCUGCCUUUUGGGGAAGACCCCGAGGCUGGCCCACGCCCUGCUGGCAGGACCCUUCCUGACUGGGUCCACCGUUCUUCUGGGUCUCACCACUUCUCCCAGCCCCUGGGCUGCUUCCUCUCUCCCGUGUCUGGGACCCCAGAGGCACCACUACCAUUCCAUACAAGCUUGCAGAGUCAAGACGAACUCUAACUCAUGGGAUGGACAAACUGGAAGAUGUAAAAU
Molecule: non-coding RNA, 555 nt
Filed under: Pan troglodytes (chimpanzee)
Lineage: Eukaryota; Metazoa; Chordata; Mammalia; Primates; Hominidae
Source: RNAcentral